UGCCAGCCGCCGCGGUAAUACGGAGGGUGCAAGCGUUAAUCGGAAUUACUGGGCGUAAAGCGCGCGUAGGUGGUUUGAUAAGCGAGAUGUGAAAGCCCCGGGCUUAACCUGGGAACGGCAUUUCGAACUGUCAGGCUAGAGUAUGGUAGAGGGUAGUGGAAUUUCCUGUGUAGCGGUGAAAUGCGUAGAUAUAGGAAGGAACACCAGUGGCGAAGGCGGCUACCUGGACCAAUACUGACACUGAGGUGCGAAAGCGUGGGGAGCAAACAGGAUUAGAUA
This 279-nucleotide ribosomal RNA is filed under the name uncultured bacterium. RNAcentral describes it as "partial 16S ribosomal RNA". It matches the Rfam family "Bacterial small subunit ribosomal RNA", at positions 506 to 784 of the family's 1533-position model. The record is from RNAcentral.